Non-coding RNA from Pseudonaja textilis, 759 nucleotides. The record is from RefSeq and is a predicted model, not a curated record. NCBI's taxonomy places the organism in Eukaryota, Metazoa, Chordata, Lepidosauria, Squamata, Elapidae.
AAACGAUUGGGUACUCCGUCAAAGAUGCUUUCUCUUUUGGGUGAGAGUGAAUUAUUCCCAAGUUUGUCACGUGCUACCUCCGGUCACACCGAGAAGGGAUGUAAGUUCUCUGCUCUUGUGAUCCCAGGACAUCAUGAACUGGUUGUAGCUCUGUUUGAGCGCAAAGUCGGAGUAUCCUUUUCCGUGAUUGGUCUCAGGUUUCUGUUCCCCGGACUCCUUUGGGGGGUCCCUAGGCCUCUGAGACAGAAGUGGCCCGACCCUUUAAUUCAGCCGCGGGAAACUGUGGCCAGUUUACGACCUGUGGACUUCAACUCUCAGAAAUGAGGACGGUUGGCGUUUAUCUGAAACCUCCGUUCCCUUCCGCAGGCUUCUUUCCAACGCUCCAACAGUCACGACAAAGUCAGGAAAAUUGUAGCCGAGGAGGGUCGCACCGCAAGAAACCUGAUUGCUUGGAGCGUGCCGCUGGAGAACAAGGAAGAGGAAGGAAAACCGAAGUGGCAGGUAGGGGCCAAAUCGAAGAGGAUAAACCAAGGAACACACAAAAUUAGCAAACAGAGCACGGCGUCCGAUUGCAAAAUCACACCAGCCACGGGGGAGAAGACCUACUAUAAAAGCCCCACCAAAACCAGGCAGCCACGGAAAGUGGACCUCCGGGCGCGAUACUGGGCGUUCCUUUUCGACAACCUCAGGCGGGCGGUGGAUGAAAUCUACGUCACUUGUGAAUCGGACCAGAGUGUGGUGGAAUGUAAAGUAAGGCUC